This 103-nucleotide transfer RNA is filed under the name Penicillium freii. It matches the Rfam family "tRNA". Rfam says of the family: Transfer RNA (tRNA) molecules are approximately 80 nucleotides in length. Their secondary structure includes four short double-helical elements and three loops (D, anti-codon, and T loops). Further hydrogen bonds mediate the characteristic L-shaped molecular structure. tRNAs have two regions of fundamental functional importance: the anti-codon, which is responsible for specific mRNA codon recognition, and the 3' end, to which the tRNAs corresponding amino acid is attached (by aminoacyl-tRNA synthetases). tRNAs cope with the degeneracy of the genetic code in two manners: having more than one tRNA (with a specific anti-codon) for a particular amino acid; and 'wobble' base-pairing, i.e. permitting non-standard base-pairing at the 3rd anti-codon position. Lineage: Eukaryota; Fungi; Ascomycota; Eurotiomycetes; Eurotiales; Aspergillaceae. The record is from Rfam by way of RNAcentral.
GCCCGACUGGCGCAAUGGCUAGCGCGCAAGACUUCUACUCGAUCUAUAGUCCAUGUAUCUAGAGACUAUCUUGAGGUUGCCGGUUCGACCCCGGCGUUGGGCU